Molecule: ribosomal RNA, 406 nt
Filed under: uncultured bacterium
Lineage: Bacteria
Description: partial 16S ribosomal RNA
Rfam family: Bacterial small subunit ribosomal RNA
Source: RNAcentral
AUUGAACGCUGGCGGCAGGCAUAACACAUGCAAGUCGUGCGAGCGGCGGACGGGUGAGUAAUGUAUGGGGAUCUGCCUGAUGGAGGGGUGUAUCUACUGGAAACGGUAGCUAAUACCUCAUACCAUCAGAUGAACCCAUAUGGGAUUAGCUAGUAGGACAGGUAACGGCGUACCUAGGAGACGAUCCCUCGCUGGGCUGAGAGGAUGAACAGCCACACUGGGACUGAGACACGGCCCAGACUCCUACGGGAGGCAGCAGUGGGGAAUAUGGCACAAUGGGCGCAAGCCUGAUGCAGCCAUGCCGCGUGUAUGAAGAAGGCCUUAGGGUUGUAAAGUACUUGCAGCGGGGAGGCGUUACCAGCAGAAGAAGCACCGGCUAACUCCGUGCCAGCAGCCGCGGUAAUUC